AGUCGAGGGGUAACGGAAGUAGCUUGCUACUAGACGACGACCGGCGCACGGGUGAGUAACGCGUAUGUAAUCUGCCUUGUACAGAGGGAUAGCCCAGAGAAGUUUGGAUUAAUACCUCAUAGUAUUACUGAAUCGCAUGAUUUGGUAAUUAAAGCUCCGGCGGUACAAGAUGAACAUGCGUGACAUUAGCUAGUUGGUAAGGUAACGGCUUACCAAGGCCACGAUGUCUAGGGGUUCUGAGAGGAUGAUCCCCCACACUGGUACUGAGACACGGACCAGACUCCUACGGGAGGCAGCAGUGAGGAAUAUUGGUCAAUGGACGCAAGUCCGAACCAGCCAUCCCGCGUGAAGGAUGACUGCCCUAUGGGUUGUAAACUUCUUUUAUAUGCAAAUAAACCUACUUUCGUGAAAGUAGCUGAAGGUAGCAUAUGAAUAAACACCGGCUAACUCCGUGCCAGCAGCCGCGGUAAUACGGAGGGUGUAAGCGUUAUCCGGAUUUAUUGGGUUUAAAGGGUACGUAGGCGGUAAUAUAAGUCAGUGGUGAAAUCCUGCAGCUCAACUGUA
Molecule: ribosomal RNA, 564 nt
Filed under: uncultured bacterium
Lineage: Bacteria
Description: bacterial SSU rRNA
Rfam family: Bacterial small subunit ribosomal RNA
Source: RNAcentral